Molecule: ribosomal RNA, 253 nt
Filed under: uncultured bacterium
Lineage: Bacteria
Description: partial 16S ribosomal RNA
Rfam family: Bacterial small subunit ribosomal RNA
Source: RNAcentral
UACGUAGGUGGCGAGCGUUGUCCGGAUUUACUGGGCGUAAAGAGCGCGCAGGCGGCUGGUCAAGUCCGAUGUGAAAGCUCCCGGCUUAACUGGGAAAUUGCAUCGGAAACUGAUCGGCUGGAAGGUGGGAGAGGGUAGCGGAAUUCCCGGUGUAGUGGUGAAAUGCGUAGAUAUCGGGAGGAACACCAAUGGCGAAGGCAGCACUCUGGGACGUGACUGACGCUGAGACGCGAAAGCGUGGGGAGCAAACAGG